GACGAACGCUGGCGGCGUGCCUAAUACAUGCAAGUCGAACGCAGUGGGGACGGGUGAGUAACACGUGGGUAACCUCCCAUCAGAGGGGAAAACACUUGGAAACAGGUGCUAAACCGAUACUGAUGGAUGGACACCCGGUGCAUUAGCUAGUUGGUGAGGUAACGGCUCACCAAGGCCACGAUGCAUAGCCGACCUUGAAUGGUGAUCGGCCAGACGGGGACGGAGACACGGCCCAGACUCCUACGAGAGUCAGCAGUAGGGAAUCUUCGGAAAUGGACGAAAGUCUGACAGAGCAACGCCGCGUGAGUGAAGAAGGUGUUCGGAUCGUAAAACUCUGUUGUUAGAGAAGCGGUAUCUAACCAGAAAGCCACGGCUAACUACGUGCCAGCCGCGGCGGGAAUUC
Molecule: ribosomal RNA, 403 nt
Filed under: uncultured bacterium
Lineage: Bacteria
Description: partial 16S ribosomal RNA
Rfam family: Bacterial small subunit ribosomal RNA
Source: RNAcentral